Pelobates cultripes (western spadefoot toad) is the source of this 236-nucleotide non-coding RNA. The record is from the annotation of a GenBank genome assembly. NCBI's taxonomy places the organism in Eukaryota, Metazoa, Chordata, Amphibia, Anura, Pelobatidae.
CUGCUAUUGGUUGGCUUGGGAUAUGCAGUGUAAUUGGUUACUAUCCCAAGCCCAUACUGCUAUUGGUUGGCUUGGGAUAUGUAGUGUAAUUGGUUACUAUCCCAAGUCCAUGCUGCUAUUGGUUGGCUUGGGAUAUGUAGUGUAAUUGGUUACUAUCCCAAGUCCAUACUGCUAUUGGUUGGCUUGGGAUAUGUAGUGUAAUUGAUUCUAUUCCAAGUCCAUGCUGCUAUUGGUUG